This 290-nucleotide long non-coding RNA is filed under the name Ananas comosus (pineapple). RNAcentral describes it as "long non-coding RNA (ACOM_LNC021802)". Lineage: Eukaryota; Viridiplantae; Streptophyta; Magnoliopsida; Poales; Bromeliaceae. The record is from RNAcentral.
AUUAUACAUAGCUUAUCAUUAUUAUAAUUUCUUUUAUAUUUAGCUCCUUAAAAAAAAAAUUAUAAAUAAUUCUAACAAAUUUAUAUUUGCAUAUAUCUUCUUGCUACGCUAGUGCCAUGUUAGCAAUUCUAUGUUGAAUACAGUGAUUGAAUCACCGUAUACAUAUUUACAUUUUAGUCUUUUUUUAACUUACAAGUAAUAAAAAAUACAAAAUAAAUACGAUAAUUCAAUCAUCAUAUUUAAAUAUGGUGAUUGAAUCACAAAUAUAUAUUUUUUAGGACUAAUUAAAA